This 63-nucleotide microRNA precursor is filed under the name Scyliorhinus torazame (cloudy catshark). Its description in RNAcentral is "Sto-Mir-1788_pre stem-loop". The record is from RNAcentral. Lineage: Eukaryota; Metazoa; Chordata; Chondrichthyes; Carcharhiniformes; Scyliorhinidae.
GGCUUGUUUCGAGUUGCCUGCGUUUGUUUGUUUUUGGGGACACAGGCAGCUAAAGCAAGCCUG